AAACUUACCUGGCAGGUAUAUACCAUGAUCACGAAGCUGGUUUUCCCAGGGUGAAACUUAUCCAUUGCACUCUGAAUGUGAUCUCUCCAAAUGCAAGAAACUUGACUGUAAAAUUUGUGGUAAUGGAGGAUUGCCUACAUGCUUUCCCUUG
RNAcentral lists this small nuclear RNA (151 nucleotides) under Peromyscus maniculatus bairdii (prairie deer mouse). RNAcentral's name for it is "U1 spliceosomal RNA (ENSPEMG00000002045.2)". It matches the Rfam family "U1 spliceosomal RNA". Rfam says of the family: U1 is a small nuclear RNA (snRNA) component of the spliceosome (involved in pre-mRNA splicing). Its 5' end forms complementary base pairs with the 5' splice junction, thus defining the 5' donor site of an intron. There are significant differences in sequence and secondary structure between metazoan and yeast U1 snRNAs, the latter being much longer (568 nucleotides as compared to 164 nucleotides in human). Lineage: Eukaryota; Metazoa; Chordata; Mammalia; Rodentia; Cricetidae. The record is from Rfam by way of RNAcentral.